GUGCUUCAUUAUGCUUCAGCAGCACGUACACUAAAAUUGGAAUGAUACAGCGAUUAGCAUGGCCUUGCACAACGAUGAUGCACAAAUUUGUGAAGUGUUCCAUAUAAAA
Gorilla gorilla gorilla (western lowland gorilla) is the source of this 109-nucleotide non-coding RNA. Lineage: Eukaryota; Metazoa; Chordata; Mammalia; Primates; Hominidae. The record is from Rfam.